Molecule: ribosomal RNA, 497 nt
Filed under: uncultured bacterium
Lineage: Bacteria
Description: partial 16S ribosomal RNA
Rfam family: Bacterial small subunit ribosomal RNA
Source: RNAcentral
GAUGAACGCUGGCGGCGUGCCUAAUACAUGCAAGUCGAGCGAACAGACGAGGAGCUUGCUCCUCUGACGUUAGCGGCGGACGGGUGAGUAACACGUGGAUAACCUACCUAUAAGACUGGGAUAACUUCGGGAAACCGGAGCUAAUACCGGAUAAUAUAUUGAACCGCAUGGUUCAAUAGUGAAAGACGGUUUUGCUGUCACUUAUAGAUGGAUCCGCGCCGCAUUAGCUAGUUGGUAAGGUAACGGCUUACCAAGGCAACGAUGCGUAGCCGACCUGAGAGGGGGAUCGGCCACACUGGAACGGAGACACGGUCCAGACGCCUAAGGGAGGCAGCAGUAGGGAAUCUUCCGCAAUGGGCGAAAGCCUGACGGAGCAACGCCGCGUGAGUGAUGAAGGUCUUCGGAUCGUAAAACUCUGUUAUUAGGGAAGAACAAAUGUGUAAGUAACUAUGCACGUAUUGACGGUACCUAAUCAGAAAGCCACGGCUAACUACGUG